This 253-nucleotide ribosomal RNA is filed under the name uncultured bacterium. RNAcentral describes it as "partial 16S ribosomal RNA". It matches the Rfam family "Bacterial small subunit ribosomal RNA", at positions 524 to 776 of the family's 1533-position model. The record is from RNAcentral.
UACGAAGGGUGCAAGCGUUACUCGGAAUUACUGGGCGUAAAGCGUGCGUAGGUGGUUGUUUAAGUCUGCUGUGAAAGCCCUGGGCUCGACCUGGGAAUUGCAGUGGAUACUGGGCGACUAGAGUGUGGUAGAGGAUAGUGGAAUUUCCGGUGUAGCAGUGAAAUGCGUAGAGAUCGGAAGGAACAUCUGUGGCGAAGGCGACUAUCUGGGCCAACACUGACACUGAGGCACGAAAGCGUGGGGAGCAAACAGG